Small nuclear RNA from Psammomys obesus (fat sand rat), 103 nucleotides. Lineage: Eukaryota; Metazoa; Chordata; Mammalia; Rodentia; Muridae. The record is from RefSeq and is a predicted model, not a curated record.
GCUUGCUUCGGCAGCACAUAGUAAAAUUGGAAUGAUACAGAGAAGAUUAGUAUGGCCCCUCUGCAAGGAUGACAUGCAAAUUCAUGAAGCGUUCCAUAUUUUU